UACGUAGGGUGCGAGCGUUAAUCGGAAUUACUGGGCGUAAAGCGUGCGCAGGCGGUUUUGUAAGCCAGAUGUGAAAGCCCCGGGCUUAACCUGGGGAAUGGCAUUUGGGACUGCAAGGCUAGAGUGCGGCAGAGGAGACUGGAAUUCCUGGUGUAGCAGUGAAAUGCGUAGAUAUCAGGAGGAAUACCGAUGGCGAAGGCAGGUCUCUGGGCUGACACUGACGCUCAUGCACGAAAGCGUGGGGAGCAAACAGG
Molecule: ribosomal RNA, 254 nt
Filed under: uncultured bacterium
Lineage: Bacteria
Description: partial 16S ribosomal RNA
Rfam family: Bacterial small subunit ribosomal RNA
Source: RNAcentral